Molecule: unclassified non-coding RNA, 385 nt
Filed under: soil metagenome
Description: partial contains 5.8S ribosomal RNA, internal transcribed spacer 2, and large subunit ribosomal RNA
Rfam family: 5.8S ribosomal RNA (bases 1-120)
Source: RNAcentral
GAUGAAGAACGCAGCGAAAUGCGAUAAGUAAUGUGAAUUGCAGAAUUCAGUGAAUCAUCGAAUCUUUGAACGCACCUUGCGCUCCUUGGUAUUCCGAGGAGCAUGCCUGUUUGAGUGUCAUUAAAUUCUCAACCUCAUCAGUUUUGUUAUGAAGCUGUGUGAGGCUUGGAUGUGGGGGUUUGUGCAGGCUGCCUCAGUGCGGUCUGCUCCCCUGAAAUGUAUUAGCGAGUUCCAACUGGGCUCCGUCUAUUGGUGUGAUAAUUAUCUACGCCGUGGAUUGGGCUUAGACUUGCUUCUAACCGUCCGCAAGGACAAUCUUUUGACAAUUUGACCUCAAAUCAGGUAGGACUACCCGCUGAACUUAAGCAUAUCAAUAAGCGGAGGA